This 75-nucleotide transfer RNA is filed under the name Candidatus Peregrinibacteria bacterium HGW-Peregrinibacteria-1. RNAcentral's name for it is "tRNA-Gly". It matches the Rfam family "tRNA". Rfam says of the family: Transfer RNA (tRNA) molecules are approximately 80 nucleotides in length. Their secondary structure includes four short double-helical elements and three loops (D, anti-codon, and T loops). Lineage: Bacteria; Candidatus Peregrinibacteriota. The record is from RNAcentral.
GCGGGUAUAGUAUAGUGGCUAUUACGCUGCCUUGCCAAGGCGGAGGCACGGGUUCAAUUCCCGUUACUCGCUCCA